CAGCCCGGUAAUUCCAGCUCCAAUAGCGUAUAUUAAAGUUGUUGCAGUUAAAAAGCUCGUAGUUGAACUUCGGGGUUUACCCAUUGGUCAGGCUUAAUUGUCUGUACUGGUGAGAUAAAUCUCUACCUUCUGAGGAACUUUCAUGCCAUUUAGUUGGUGUGAUAGGAAAUCAGGACUGUUACUUUGAAAAAAUUAGAGUGUUUAAAGCAGGCUAACGUCUGAAUACAUUAGCAUGGAAUAAUGAAAUAGGACGGAUUGGUUCUAUUUCGUUGGUUUCUAGGAUCACCGUAAUGAUUAAUAGGGAUAGUUGGGGGCAUUAGUAUUCAAUUGUCAGAGGUGAAAUUCUUGGAUUUAUUGAAGACUAACUAUUGCGAAAGCAUUUGCCAAGGAUGUUUUCAUUAAUCAAGAACGAAAGUUAGGGGAUCGAAGACGAUCAGAUACCGUCGUAGUCUUAACCAUAAACUAUGCCGACUAGGGAUCGGACGAAGUUAAUUUUAUAAUGACGCGUUCGGCACCUUACG
Molecule: unclassified non-coding RNA, 521 nt
Filed under: uncultured Glomeromycotina
Lineage: Eukaryota; Fungi; Glomeromycota
Description: SSU rRNA
Rfam family: Eukaryotic small subunit ribosomal RNA
Source: RNAcentral